GAUGAACGCUGGCGGCGUGCCUAAUACAUGCAAGUCGAGCGAACAGACGAGGAGCUUGCUCCUCUGACGUUAGCGGCGGACGGGUGAGUAACACGUGGAUAACCUACCUAUAAGACUGGGAUAACUUCGGGAAACCGGAGCUAAUACCGGAUAAUAUAUUGAACCGCAUGGUUCAAUAGUGAAAGACGGUUUUGCUGUCACUUAUAGAUGGAUCCGCGCCGCAUUAGCUAGUUGGUAAGGUAACGGCUUACCAAGGCAACGAUGCGUAGCCGACCUGAGAGGUGGAUCGGCCACACUGGAACUGGAAACCGGUCCAGACUCCUACGGGAGGCAGCAGAAGGGAAUCUUCCGCAAUGGGCGAAAGCCUGACGGGGCAACGCCGCGUGGGUGAUGAAGGUCUUCGAAUCGUAAAACUCUGUUAUUAGGGAAGAACAAAUGUGUAAGUAACUAUGCACGUCUUGACGGUACCUAAUCAGAAAGCCACGGCUAACUACGU
This 496-nucleotide ribosomal RNA is filed under the name uncultured bacterium. Its description in RNAcentral is "partial 16S ribosomal RNA". It matches the Rfam family "Bacterial small subunit ribosomal RNA", at positions 28 to 506 of the family's 1533-position model. The record is from RNAcentral.